Molecule: long non-coding RNA, 1443 nt
Filed under: Vitis vinifera (wine grape)
Lineage: Eukaryota; Viridiplantae; Streptophyta; Magnoliopsida; Vitales; Vitaceae
Description: long non-coding RNA (VVIN_LNC006853)
Source: RNAcentral
ACUCGGCCGAGUCGUAUCCGCCUCGACCAUGGCCGGUACCGGACCGAUACCCGAGUUGGAUAUUUUGUCGAACAAACUCGGUUGAAUUGAAAGAGUGAAUCCCAUGGAAACGUUGAGACAACUCCAAGAUCAUGUUGAGACUAAGCUAUUUGGGUUAUUGGUAAUGGAAAAAAAAGGUAAUAUUGGAGUAGAAAUGGUGGAGAAGAUGAGAGGAUCAAAACCCACGAAAAUGAAAAAUACAGAUUACAGAGAUGGACUGCAUCUUGUAGUCGCCGGUUAGAUCCCCCAAGUUCUUGCCGGAGAUGGAACUGAGCGACAUGAGGAGGAGGCAGAGUCGCCGGAAUCCAGCACUGCUAUUAUUGACAGAGAACGACGGUGAGGUGGCCAAUGGAAGUGGGAGAAGAGAGAAAGUGGGCUUGUGGAGGAGCUAGUUGUGGGGAGAAAUGGGUGUUUGACCGGUCAAUGGUGGUUAUGAGUAUUUAACAGAUGUGGAUUUGGGUUUUUUUUUUUUUUUUUUGAUAAAUAGGUGAGGAUUUAGGUUUUAAAUAAUAUGUAUUUGUUUUUUAAGUAGAUAAUGAGUAUUUGGUGGGAAUUUGAGUUUUAAAUAAUUUGAUGAAAAUUAUAAUGAUAAAAAAUUAAUAAUGAAUAUUAGACUUAUAUCAAAUAAAUAGGAAAUGAAUAUUUAUAUAAAAAUUCAAAUUAAUGAAUAUAUUUUAUAAGAAAAAUUAUAUUUAUUUUUAAAAAAAUGAAUCAUGGUUUUAUUUUUUUAAUAGUUAAAUUUUUUUUUAAAAAAAAAUUCAAAAUAUUUAAUUUAAACAGUUUUUUAUAAAAAAAAAUACUUUUUAUUAUUUUCAUCUUCAACAAGAAACAUUUAUUAUCAAGUGAUUAAAUUAAAAUAUUUUUAGAGAUUUUUAAUAUUAUUUAAAAUCAUCCCAAAAGUAUGCUUUUAUUAUAAUUUGAAUAAUUAUAAUAUAAUAGAAGUUUCUUUUAUUAAUUUUUCACUCUACUUAUUUGUAUUUAAAUUUUUAAAUAAUUUUCAUAAUUUUUUGAAAUUAUUUUAAGCUCUUAAAUUAGAAUUUUUUGCGUAUCAUCCGAUACCGAUUCGAGAUACCUAGAUAGAUGUGCCUCAAGACCAGGGUUCAAAAUCUCGGUCAACACCGGUACGACUCGGCCGAGUCGUAUCCGCCUCGACCAUGGCCGGUACCGGACCGAUACCUGAGUUGGAUAUUUUGUCGAACAAACUCGAUUGAAUUGAAAGAGUGAAUCCCAUGGAAACGUUGAGACAACUCCAAGAUCAUGUUGAGACUAAGCUAUUUGGGUUAUUGGUAAUGGAAAAAAAAGGUAAUAUUGGAGUAGAAAUGGUGGAGAAGAUGAGAGGAUCAAAACCCACGAAAAUGAAAAAUACAGAUUACAGAGAUGGACUGCAUCUUGUAGUCGCCGGUC